This 1496-nucleotide ribosomal RNA is filed under the name uncultured bacterium. RNAcentral's name for it is "bacterial SSU rRNA". It matches the Rfam family "Bacterial small subunit ribosomal RNA". The record is from RNAcentral.
AGAGUUUGAUCCUGGCUCAGAUUGAACGCUGGCGGUAUGCUUAACACAUGCAAGUCGAACGGUAACAGCAAGAGCUUGCUCUUGGCUGACGAGUGGCGGACGGGUGAGUAACGCGUAGGGAUCUACCUUCUGGUGGGGGAUAGCCCGGAGAAAUCCGGAUUAAUACCGCAUAAGACCUAAGGGUGAAAAGGGGCCAAUUCUUGAAAGCUCUUGCCGGAAGAUGAACCUACGUUAGAUUAGCUAGUUGGUGGGGUAAUGGCCUACCAAGGCGACGAUCUAUAGCUGGUCUGAGAGGAUGAUCAGCCACACUGGAACUGAGACACGGUCCAGACUCCUACGGGAGGCAGCAGUGGGGAAUAUUGGACAAUGGGCGCAAGCCUGAUCCAGCAAUACCGCGUGUGUGAAGAAGGCUCUAGGGUCGUAAAGCACUUUCAGUAGGGAGGAAAGGGUUGUAGUUAAUACCUGCAAUCUGUGACGUUACCUACAGAAGAAGCACCGGCUAACUCCGUGCCAGCAGCCGCGGUAAUACGGAGGGUGCAAGCGUUAAUCGGAAUUACUGGGCGUAAAGCGCGCGUAGGCGGAUUGUUAAGUCUCAUGUGAAAGCCCUGGGCUCAACCUGGGAACUGCAUGGGAUACUGGCAAUCUAGAAUACAGUAGAGGGUAGUGGAAUUUCAGGUGUAGCGGUGAAAUGCGUAGAGAUCUGAAGGAACAUCAGUGGCGAAGGCGACUACCUGGACUGAUAUUGACGCUGAGGUGCGAAAGCGUGGGGAGCAAACGGGAUUAGAUACCCCGGUAGUCCACGCCGUAAACGAUGGAUACUAGUUGUUGGGAUUUAUCUCAGUGACUAAGCGAAAGUGAUAAGUAUCCCACCUGGGGAGUACGGUCGCAAGACUGAAACUCAAAGGAAUUGACGGGGGCCCGCACAAGCGGUGGAGCAUGUGGUUUAAUUCGAUGAUACGCGAGGAACCUUACCAGGGCUUAAAUGUAGAGUGACAGGGCUAGAGAUAGCUUUUUCUUCGGACACUUUACAAGGUGCUGCAUGGUUGUCGUCAGCUCGUGCCGUGAGGUGUCAGGUUAAGUCCUAUAACGAGCGCAACCCCUAUUGUUAGUUGCUAACAGGUAAUGCUGAGGACUCUAGCGAGACUGCCGGUGCAAACCGCGAGGAAGGUGGGGAUGACGUCAAAUCAUCAUGGCCCUUACGACCUGGGCUACACACGUGCUACAAUGGACAGUACAGAGGGCUGCAACCCCGCGAGGGUGAGCGAAUCCCGGAAAACUGUUCGUAGUCCGGAUCGGAGUCUGCAACUCGACUCCGUGAAGUCGGAAUCGCUAGUAAUCGCGAAUCAGAAUGUCGCGGUGAAUACGUUCCCGGGCCUUGUACACACCGCCCGUCACACCAUGGGAGUGGGCUGCAAAAGAAGUGGGUAGUUUAACCUUCGGGAGAACGCUCACCACUUUGUGGUUCAUGACUGGGGUGAAGUCGUAACAAGGUAACC